UAUUGGGCGUAAGCGCGCGCAGGCGGUUUCUUAAGUCUGAUGUGAAAGCCCCCGGCUCAACCGGGGAGGGUCAUUGGAAACUGGGGAACUUGAGUGCAGAAGAGGAGAGUGGAAUUCCACGUGUAGCGGUGAAAUGCGUAGAGAUGUGGAGGAACACCAGUGGCGAAGGCGACUCUCUGGUCUGUAACUGACGCUGAGGCGCGAAAGCGUGGGGAGCGAACAGGAUUAGAUACCC
Molecule: ribosomal RNA, 235 nt
Filed under: Bacillus licheniformis
Lineage: Bacteria; Bacillati; Bacillota; Bacilli; Caryophanales; Bacillaceae
Description: partial 16S ribosomal RNA
Rfam family: Bacterial small subunit ribosomal RNA
Source: RNAcentral